GUCCAUGGCCAUGCCACCCUGAACAAGCCUGAUGUCUGAUCUCAGAAGCUAAGCAGGGUCGGGCCUGGUUAGUACUUUGAUGGGAGACCACCUAGGAAGACCAGGUACUGUAGGCA
This 116-nucleotide ribosomal RNA is filed under the name Pteropus alecto (black flying fox). Lineage: Eukaryota; Metazoa; Chordata; Mammalia; Chiroptera; Pteropodidae. RNAcentral also lists the same sequence under 1 other name. The record is from RNAcentral.